GCCGGACGUGGUGGCGCAUGCCUGUAAUCCCAGCUACUUGGGAGGCUGAGGCAGGAGAAUCGCUUGAACCCAGGAGGCGGAGGUUGCAGUGAGCUGAGAUCGUGCCACUGCACUCCAGCCUGGGCGACAGAGCGAGACUCCGUCUCAA
Molecule: unclassified non-coding RNA, 148 nt
Organism: Pongo abelii (Sumatran orangutan)
Lineage: Eukaryota; Metazoa; Chordata; Mammalia; Primates; Hominidae
Rfam family: Metazoan signal recognition particle RNA
About the family: The signal recognition particle (SRP) is a universally conserved ribonucleoprotein. It is involved in the co-translational targeting of proteins to membranes.
Source: Ensembl